GUGGCUAUGGUGUAGCGGUAACACGUCUGUCUGUGGAUCAGGAGUCGAGGGUUCAACCCCCUCUAGCCACCCCA
RNAcentral lists this transfer RNA (74 nucleotides) under Chloroflexota bacterium. RNAcentral's name for it is "Chloroflexi bacterium tRNA-His". It matches the Rfam family "tRNA". From Rfam's summary of the family: Transfer RNA (tRNA) molecules are approximately 80 nucleotides in length. Their secondary structure includes four short double-helical elements and three loops (D, anti-codon, and T loops). Further hydrogen bonds mediate the characteristic L-shaped molecular structure. tRNAs have two regions of fundamental functional importance: the anti-codon, which is responsible for specific mRNA codon recognition, and the 3' end, to which the tRNAs corresponding amino acid is attached (by aminoacyl-tRNA synthetases). tRNAs cope with the degeneracy of the genetic code in two manners: having more than one tRNA (with a specific anti-codon) for a particular amino acid; and 'wobble' base-pairing, i.e. permitting non-standard base-pairing at the 3rd anti-codon position. Lineage: Bacteria; Bacillati; Chloroflexota. The record is from RNAcentral.